RNAcentral lists this ribosomal RNA (694 nucleotides) under uncultured bacterium. Its description in RNAcentral is "bacterial SSU rRNA". It matches the Rfam family "Bacterial small subunit ribosomal RNA", at positions 111 to 823 of the family's 1533-position model. The record is from RNAcentral.
UAACGCGUGGGAAACCUGCCCUGUACCGGGGGAUAACACUUAGAAAUAGGUGCUAAUACCGCAUAAGCGCACAGCUUCACAUGAGGCAGUGUGAAAAACUCCGGUGGUACAGGAUGGUCCCGCGUCUGAUUAGCCAGUUGGCAGGGUAACGGCCUACCAAAGCGACGAUCAGUAGCCGGCUUGAGAGGGUGAACGGCCACAUUGGGACUGAGACACGGCCCAAACUCCUACGGGAGGCAGCAGUGGGGAAUAUUGCACAAUGGGGGAAACCCUGAUGCAGCGACGCCGCGUGAGUGAAGAAGUAUUUCGGUAUGUAAAGCUCUAUCAGCAGGGAAGAAAAUGACGGUACCUGACUAAGAAGCCCCGGCUAACUACGUGCCAGCAGCCGCGGUAAUACGUAGGGGGCAAGCGUUAUCCGGAUUUACUGGGUGUAAAGGGAGCGUAGACGGCAUGACAAGCCAGAUGUGAAAACCCAGGGCUCAACCCUGGGACUGCAUUUGGAACUGCCAGGCUGGAGUGCAGGAGAGGUAAGCGGAAUUCCUAGUGUAGCGGUGAAAUGCGUAGAUAUUAGGAGGAACACCAGUGGCGAAGGCGGCUUACUGGACUGUAACUGACGUUGAGGCUCGAAAGCGUGGGGAGCAAACAGGAUUAGAUACCCUGGUAGUCCACGCGGUAAACGAUGAUUGCUAGGUGU